RNAcentral lists this ribosomal RNA (564 nucleotides) under uncultured bacterium. RNAcentral's name for it is "bacterial SSU rRNA". It matches the Rfam family "Bacterial small subunit ribosomal RNA", at positions 362 to 917 of the family's 1533-position model. The record is from RNAcentral.
UAUUGGACAAUGGGGGCAACCCCGAUCCCAGCCAUGCCGCGUGUGUGAAGAAGGCCCUCGGGUUGUAAAGCACUUUCAGCGAGGAAGAACGCCUAGCGGUUAAUACCCGCUAGGAAAGACAUCACUCGCAGAAGAAGCACCGGCUAACUCCGUGCCAGCAGCCGCGGUAAUACGGAGGGUGCAAGCGUUAAUCGGAAUUACUGGGCGUAAAGCGCGCGUAGGUGGCUUGAUAAGCCGGUUGUGAAAGCCCCGGGCUCAACCUGGGAACGGCAUCCGGAACUGUCAAGCUAGAGUGCAGGAGAGGAAGGUAGAAUUCCCGGUGUAGCGGUGAAAUGCGUAGAGAUCGGGAGGAAUACCAGUGGCGAAGGCGGCCUUCUGGACUGACACUGACACUGAGGUGCGAAAGCGUGGGUAGCAAACAGGAUUAGAUACCCUGGUAGUCCACGCCGUAAACGAUGUCGACCUGCCGUUGGGUGCCUAGCGCACUUUGUGGCGAAGUUAACGCGAUAAGUCGACCGCCUGGGGAGUACGGCCGCAAGGUUAAAACUCAAAUGAAUUGACGGA